GAAGCAGGGUUACUCAAAGCAGGGCCGAGGCCUGAUCCCAUUAAGUUGGGGCUGCCCUCAUCAAUUCCACCAACUCACACUGACUGAGAAGCCAGUGUUUGCAGGAUGGGACAAGGCACAGUUCAAGGAAACCCUCCCAACUGGUCUACCAUAAGAGCCAGGGGCCUCCUCUUCCCUCAGACUUGGCUGCUUGCCCAGGGAAACCCCUUUGCUCACUCUUAGAGGAGCCUGCUGACUGCGGCUAUGGGAACCACUUUCAUCUCCAUGGACAAAAGCUCUGGGGUGAGGUUUUUAUUGGGUAAAUAAAAUGCCCAAGAAGGAUAAAGGGAAGAGAAGGGAAAGUUUGGGCUUGAUGUUGCCAGUGGCAAUACUAUAAGAAUGGUUACAAAAAUAAAGAGGCCUUCAGUGGGAGAACUGCGUCUCUCAAGCUGUGAGCCACUGACAGAAGCUAUGGAGUUACUGACAGGGCCAGAGAGAAAUAUCUCUGCACUAAGUAACCAUGUAAAGCUCCAGGAAAGCACAGCCUUGGAGGAGGAAGUUAGCUGCCUGACAGCUGGACCUGGGUGGUGGUUGUGUAACUGUUGUUCCUG
Molecule: long non-coding RNA, 590 nt
Filed under: Chinchilla lanigera (long-tailed chinchilla)
Lineage: Eukaryota; Metazoa; Chordata; Mammalia; Rodentia; Chinchillidae
Description: lncRNA (ENSCLAG00000025807.1)
Source: RNAcentral